This 722-nucleotide ribosomal RNA is filed under the name uncultured Fusobacterium sp. RNAcentral's name for it is "bacterial SSU rRNA". It matches the Rfam family "Bacterial small subunit ribosomal RNA", at positions 28 to 776 of the family's 1533-position model. The record is from RNAcentral. Lineage: Bacteria; Fusobacteriati; Fusobacteriota; Fusobacteriia; Fusobacteriales; Fusobacteriaceae.
GAUGAACGCUGACAGAAUGCUUAACACAUGCAAGUCAACUUGAACUUCGGUUUGGGUGGCGGACGGGUGAGUAACGCGUAAAGAACUUGCCUCACAGAUAGGGACAACAUUUGGAAACGAAUGCUAAUACCUGAUAUUAUGAUUUUAGGGCAUCCUAGAAUUAUGAAAGCUAUAAGCACUGUGAGAGAGCUUUGCGUCCCAUUAGCUAGUUGGAGAGGUAACAGCUCACCAAGGCGAUGAUGGGUAGCCGGCCUGAGAGGGUGAACGGCCACAAGGGGACUGAGACACGGCCCUUACUCCUACGGGAGGCAGCAGUGGGGAAUAUUGGACAAUGGACCGAGAGUCUGAUCCAGCAAUUCUGUGUGCACGAUGAAGUUUUUCGGAAUGUAAAGUGCUUUCAGUUGGGAAGAAAUAAAUGACGGUACCAACAGAAGAAGUGACGGCUAAAUACGUGCCAGCAGCCGCGGUAAUACGUAUGUCACAAGCGUUAUCCGGAUUUAUUGGGCGUAAAGCGCGUCUAGGUGGUUAUAUAAGUCUGAUGUGAAAAUGCAGGGCUCAACUCUGUAUUGCGUUGGAAACUGUGUAACUAGAGUACUGGAGAGGUAAGCGGAACUACAAGUGUAGAGGUGAAAUUCGUAGAUAUUUGUAGGAAUGCCGAUGGGGAAGCCAGCUUACUGGACAGAUACUGACGCUGAAGCGCGAAAGCGUGGGUAGCAAACAGG